AGUGAACGCUGGCGGUAGGCCUAACACAUGCAAGUCGAACGGCAGCACAGGAGAGCUUGCUCCCUGGGUGGCGAGUGGCGGACGGGUGAGGAAUACAUCGGAAUCUACUCUGUCGUGGGGGAUAACGUAGGGAAACUUACGCUAAUACCGCAUACGACCUACGGGUGAAAGCAGGGGAUCUUCGGACCUUGCGCGAUUGAAUGAGCCGAUGUCGGAUUAGCUAGUUGGCGGGGGAAAGGCCCACCAAGGCGACGAUCCGUAGCUGGUCUGGGAGGAGGAGCAGCCACACUGGAACUGAGACACGGUCCAGACCCCUACGGGAGGCAGCAGUGGGGAGUAUUGGACAAUGGGCGCAAGCCUGAUCCAGCCAUACCGCGGGGGUGAAGAAGGCCUUCGGGUUGUAAAGCCAUUUUGUUGGGAAAGAAAUCCAGCUGGCUAAUACCCGGUUGGGAUGACGGUACCCAAAGAAUAAGCACCGGCUAACUUCGUGCCAGCAGCCGCCGCCG
This 506-nucleotide ribosomal RNA is filed under the name uncultured bacterium. Its description in RNAcentral is "partial 16S ribosomal RNA". It matches the Rfam family "Bacterial small subunit ribosomal RNA", at positions 29 to 523 of the family's 1533-position model. The record is from RNAcentral.